GAUGAACGCUAGCUACAGGCUUAACACAUGCAAGUCGAGGGGCAGCAUGGUCUUAGCUUGCUAAGGCCGAUGGCGACCGGCGCACGGGUGAGUAACACGUAUCCAACCUGCCGUCUACUCUUGGACAGCCUUCUGAAAGGAAGAUUAAUACAAGAUGGCAUCAUGAGUCCGCAUGUUCACAUGAUUAAAGGUAUUCCGGUAGACGAUGGGGAUGCGUUCCAUUAGAUAGUAGGCGGGGUAACGGCCCACCUAGUCUUCGAUGGAUAGGGGUUCUGAGAGGAAGGUCCCCCACAUUGGAACUGAGACACGGUCCAAACUCCUACGGGAGGCAGCAGUGAGGAAUAUUGGUCAAUGGGCGCAGGCCUGAACCAGCCAAGUAGCGUGAAGGAUGACUGCCCUAUGGGUUGUAAACUUCUUUUAUAAAGGAACAAAGUCGGGUAUGUAUACCCGUUUGCAUGUACUUUAUGAAUAAGGAUCGGCUAACUCCGUG
This 490-nucleotide ribosomal RNA is filed under the name uncultured bacterium. RNAcentral's name for it is "partial 16S ribosomal RNA". It matches the Rfam family "Bacterial small subunit ribosomal RNA", at positions 28 to 507 of the family's 1533-position model. The record is from RNAcentral.